Molecule: ribosomal RNA, 292 nt
Filed under: uncultured bacterium
Lineage: Bacteria
Description: partial 16S ribosomal RNA
Source: RNAcentral
GGACUACCCGGGUAUCUAAUCCCGUUCGCUCCCCAUGCUGUCGUGUCUGAGCGUCAGUUGCGAGCCAGGGCGCCGCCUUCGCCUCUGGGGUUCCUCCGGAUCUCUACGCAUUUCACCACUACACCCGGAAUUCCACGCCCCUCUCUCGCACUCCAGAGAACCAGUCUGGCAUAACCCCGCCCGGUUUAGCCGGGCGAUUUCAUACACCACUUGGUCCCCCGCCUGCACACCCUUUACGCCCAGUAAAUCCGGAUAACGCUCGCCACCUACGUUUUACCGCGGCUGCUGGCAC